GGCGAGCAGGACCCCGGCGCGGCCGCGGCCUUCGUCGGUCGCUCGGCAAACGCACGUGGGCCGGGGCUGGGGGAGCCGAGCCCUGUUUUGCCGCGUUCAGGGCCGUCGUGGGAGCGAACGCCGCCUCUCCCUUUGGGAUUUGCAGGCUCGGAGGAGCGUCGGGGAGAUCCCUUUGCAGGGCAGCAGCGAUGUUUGUGCCGGUCAACGCCGUGCUCGUCACCAGAGGAAAAGCAGGAGCCGCGACUUCUGCUGAAGCGCAAAGGUUUCGCCCCGGCGUGGGCCCGGGGGGCUUUGGCUGCCGAACCGGCCCCCGCGGCGGGCGCGCAGGGUGUUGCCAUUAGAAAAUAAACGCCCGGAGCUGUUAAAAAGCCCCUGCCUUGCCUUGGCUGUAACGCCCGGGGUGCGGGACCGUUGCAGCCUCCCAAGCCCCGCGCUGGGGAAGCUCGGGCAGCAGGGACGGGGAGCGCCCGGCCCCGUUUCGGUGCCUGGGGGAGAAACGGGGAGGAGGUCGCCGGUAUCUGAUGCAGACGAUGAGGAAGAGGAGGACGACGGCACCAUAAUUAUGGGGCCAGCCCCCUCCCGUGCAGGGGUGUCCCGGCCAUCGGCUGCCGCCUGCCCCGGGAGGUGCCAAGCGACCCCUGGGAAGCUGGAGCCGCCUGCCUGAGGACACCGCUGGCAGCCCACGAUAAUAAA
Non-coding RNA from Phalacrocorax carbo (great cormorant), 693 nucleotides. Lineage: Eukaryota; Metazoa; Chordata; Aves; Suliformes; Phalacrocoracidae. The record is from RefSeq and is a predicted model, not a curated record.